Molecule: non-coding RNA, 71 nt
Organism: Parcubacteria group bacterium CG1_02_40_25
Lineage: Bacteria
Source: Rfam
GCGGGUGUGGUUUAAUGGCAAAAUCUCUUCCUUCCAAGAAGAAGACGGCGGUUCGACUCCGCUCACCCGCU